GGCAGGCUGCCCAGAGGGCGGAAGGGUCCUCUGCAGAGCUCUGCACGCCUGUCGGCCGACGGGGACUCUGCACGGCGGGCUGCGUCACGGCCGCCUCAUCGGCUGGCAGCGCAGGAAACCCCGUCACCUUCUCGAGGGACGCUGUGCUGCUCAGCCCACCCCAGGCAGGGCAGGGAGGACAGACACUAGAGAGGCUCCCGGGAGCUCCCUGGCUGUAACUGAAAUAUCACGUGGGUGAACAAAGGGAGAAAUGUCGAUGGCAGCUGUGUUGACCCUUUACAACAUGCAGCGGAUUCUGCCAGAUCCCACCAACAAUCAUGCUUUCUACAGUAACCAAGUGCUGCAUCCAAUCAUGGCAAUGAAAAACAGUUCUCCUAACUUGUAAAUACUUUGAUUUGAAAAAAUGGAGUUUCAAAUCAUCCUUUUUAUUUCUAUGAAGAUUUUAAUCCACCUGCAGAAAAAAAAAAAGAAUGUUGAUGCUAUCUUGUCCAAAUACAAACAUGACUUUGCCCAUCUGUCUGCCUAUUUGGCAGACCGUGCAAAUGUAAAUUUUUGCAAAUUCCAUGCAGUCUAUGAACG
This 579-nucleotide long non-coding RNA is filed under the name Homo sapiens (human). RNAcentral's name for it is "non-protein coding lnc-IWS1-1:3". The record is from RNAcentral. Lineage: Eukaryota; Metazoa; Chordata; Mammalia; Primates; Hominidae.